AUGGGCAAAGUUUCUGAACCGUGUUGUGUUCAAGGCUAAACGGUUUGGCACUUGCCCAG
RNAcentral lists this microRNA precursor (59 nucleotides) under Ascaris suum (pig roundworm). RNAcentral describes it as "Asu-Mir-5363_pre stem-loop". The record is from RNAcentral. Lineage: Eukaryota; Metazoa; Nematoda; Chromadorea; Rhabditida; Ascarididae.